This 1092-nucleotide long non-coding RNA is filed under the name Salmo salar (Atlantic salmon). RNAcentral describes it as "lncRNA (ENSSSAG00000095570.1)". The record is from RNAcentral. Lineage: Eukaryota; Metazoa; Chordata; Actinopteri; Salmoniformes; Salmonidae.
CCACAUUAAAACACUGCUCUGAUGUUUACGGAAGACAGGUUAUAAAUAACCACUGGGAGUCAGUCCGACAUACAGCAGGCAGAACGAGAGUUUUAAGAAUCAGAAGAACACUCGCUCAUUCACCGCGAAUUUAUAACUUAAUACUUCGCCAACUGGCGCAGGCGUAGUACACAUGCUAUAUAGAGUCUGGUGGGGCUGCUGCUGAGAGGAGUGGGAGACAAACUCAAUGAGGAGGAGGAAGCUUUUGUGAAUGAUGAUGAGGAAGUCGACUGAGCCAGAGGGAUUUUCCCCAUUCUAUACCCCCAUUGUCUUCUUCCCGAUUAUACACUUUUUUCCCAAAGUAUGCACUUGCGCAUUUUCUGUCAUGGAUCAGAAUUUGAUUGGCGUAAUUAUUGGCUAAAGGGAGUUCCCACCAUUGUUAAAUCUAUGACGGGAAAGGGUGGAUAAUUGGGAUCUAGCUCUCUAACCCCAGCCCUAACCCCUAGAGAAGUUUCAACUCAGGGUGUCGCCAAUCUUCCCUAUUAUCACCUGUGUAUUUAUACCUGUGUUCUCUGUCUUGUUUGUUGCCAGUUUGUCUUGUUCGUUCAAGCUUACCAGCGGUUUUCCUGUCAGCGGCUAUUGUUUCCAACCCUUGCUUUGCUAGUCCUCCUGGUUUUGACCGAUGCCUGACAUCUCUGCCUGAGCCUGCACCUUUGCUCCACCUCUGGAUUACUGAACCCUGCCUGACCCUGAGUCUGCCUGCCGUCCUGUACCUUUGCCUAACCCUUGAUUUUCGACCCCUGCCUGCCUUGACCUGUCUUUGCAUGUCCCUGUUUGCUACAAUAAACAGGGUUACUUCGACAGUCUGCAUCUGGGUCUUACCUUGAUUCUUGAUAAGCCUAUACUGUCAGAUCCAAAUAAUGUUUACAUAAAGCAACAUUGCCAAAGAUGUCAACAUUCCAGACCUCCAGGACAUGUCCUCAUUUGAUCCAGAGAUGGAACCACUGGUUAAAUCGUGACUGGACCAAAGACUGGGGCAGGUACUGUAGCCUACGUAUGCUGUAUGGAAGUGCUACAAUUCUGAGUGGUAUAUGGUCAAACGGUAAUUCUGUG